Molecule: long non-coding RNA, 1718 nt
Filed under: Eucalyptus grandis
Lineage: Eukaryota; Viridiplantae; Streptophyta; Magnoliopsida; Myrtales; Myrtaceae
Description: long non-coding RNA (EGRA_LNC001980)
Source: RNAcentral
UUUUUUUGAUCAAAACAGAAGCAUGACAUUUAAGAGCAAACCAGGUUACAACCCUUAAAGAGGGCAUCAGUACAAAGCAAAUUGAAGAGAGAAAUGGGCGGAUCAAGAGCCCAAUUCAGAAGCAGAGACCCUCGGCCUUGGGCCUUGGCGAUCCAGUCGGCAGCCAAAUUAGCUUCACGGCGACAGUGCUGAAGAAGAAAAUUAGGGCACUCACGAAGAAGGGUUGAGGCGUGCUCGAGCGAAGAUUGACAAACCUGUGACGGCCGCCAGCGGUGAUUCACAGUUUCCACCAACUCCAGACAAUCUGAUUCAAGGAUCAGGUGAGUAUUUCCAAAACCCUGUCGCAAUAGAAAUUGGAGGGUGGAUAAUAAGGCUAGGGUUUCUGUUUGAAGGGGUGAGGAGGCCUGAACGUUCUGGGCAUAGCCGUCGAGCAAGGUGCCGUUAUGAUCACGACACAAGCACGCAAUCGACCCUACUUCAGAGGCAUCAGGGAGGGCUCCAUCCAAAUUCACUUUAAUGGAACCAGGUUCAGGGGGGAUCCAUCCACUGAGAGGAUUCGGAGAGGCCAUUGAUGAAGCCGGAUUUGACUUGGAGCAAGAGAGAUACAGCCGAGCUGAAGUGAGAGCCGAAUCAACGAUCUGUUGAGGGCUGGAGAACUGUCGCUGGAAGAUAAAUAGGUUGCGGGCCUUCCAAAGCUGCCAGAGAAGGGAAGCAAUGACUUCUAAACCAGGUAAGAGAGAUCUAUGCCCAAUUAGAUCAGUCAACCAUGCAUCCAUUCGAUGAGUGCAAAAUGCUGAGACUGUAAUAUGUAUGUGAGGAUGGGACCAAACCUGUUGUGAUCUAGGGCAGAGCAGUAGAAGAUGUUCCAGAGUUUCUAGGACUUGAGAUAGGCAAACAGGGCAUGUUGGAUCAUCUGUGAUAUGGCGCCUGUGAAGAUUUUCCUUAGUUGGAAGCGUAUUGUGACAGAUAGACCAUAGGAAUAUUCGGAUUUUGGGUGCCGUCUGAAUUUUCCAAAUCUGUUGCCAAAGGCGUCGCGGUGUGGUAUAGGAUGAUGAGGGCCGAGUAUUUCUGAUAAAGUGACUUGACUGAUGAAUAUGAUGGUAGCCACUUUUAACUGAAUAUGUACCUGUAUGUGUGUCUUUCCAUAGAAUUUGGUCUGGGAUAGGCUCGAGAAAGACAGACUGCAGAAGAGCGAGAGAGAAGGAGGGAGGGAGGGACAGGAGAAUCAUGAAUGUCGGGGCAGUGCGGGGAGAAAUAAUUGGGGCCGUCCCCUCCGAUUCCGGACGCGUCUUGUCCGCACCGGAUUCCUCCUCCGUACGCCUCCGCCCUCACCGCAUUCCUCGCUCCACCAACCCCCCCUCUCUCCCCCUCCCCCACCGCCGUCCGAUGAUCUCUUCGUCUCGAGCCUUGGCGAAAUAGACGGCGGCGAUCAACGUGGGGACGGUUCGGAGGGGGCAAGAAAAAGGGGGAAAAGCACGUUGAAAUUCGAUCAUCUCUGAUUGGGGCGGAACCGAGAAAGUAUGAUGGUUUCUGAAAGACCAUCUCGGCUUUGGGUGAAAAUGGGGGAAGGGGGAAUUCUUCCUUGUGGACCCGAGUUGAUUGAACCAUGUGGAAUAUAUCAACAAACUCAUCUCAUGGGUUUUCACAUGUAGAAACUGGGGAAUAGAGUGAAUGGCCAUGAUAGAGCCAAUCAUUCUAAUUUUGAAAUUUAAAGUUGG